RNAcentral lists this transfer RNA (72 nucleotides) under Bacteroidales bacterium. RNAcentral's name for it is "tRNA-Glu". It matches the Rfam family "tRNA". From Rfam's summary of the family: Transfer RNA (tRNA) molecules are approximately 80 nucleotides in length. Their secondary structure includes four short double-helical elements and three loops (D, anti-codon, and T loops). Further hydrogen bonds mediate the characteristic L-shaped molecular structure. tRNAs have two regions of fundamental functional importance: the anti-codon, which is responsible for specific mRNA codon recognition, and the 3' end, to which the tRNAs corresponding amino acid is attached (by aminoacyl-tRNA synthetases). tRNAs cope with the degeneracy of the genetic code in two manners: having more than one tRNA (with a specific anti-codon) for a particular amino acid; and 'wobble' base-pairing, i.e. permitting non-standard base-pairing at the 3rd anti-codon position. Lineage: Bacteria; Pseudomonadati; Bacteroidota; Bacteroidia; Bacteroidales. RNAcentral also lists the same sequence under 1 other name. The record is from RNAcentral.
GGCGCAUUCUUCUAACGGUUAGGAAAUCAGAUUCUCAAUCUGGGAAUAGCGGUUCGAUUCCGCUAUGCGCUA